AUUGAACGCUGGCGGCAUGCUUUACACAUGCAAGUCGAACGGUAACAGGUUAAGCUGACGAGUGGCGAACGGGUGAGUAAUGCAUCGGAACGUGCCCGGUCGUGGGGGAUAACGCAGCGAAAGCUGCGCUAAUACCGCAUACGAUCUGAGGAUGAAAGCGGGGGACCGUAAGGCCUCGCGCGAUCGGAGCGGCCGAUGUCAGAUUAGGUAGUUGGUGGGGUAAAGGCUCACCAAGCCGACGAUCUGUAGCUGGUCUGAGAGGACGACCAGCCACACUGGGACGGAGAAACGGCCCAGACUCCUACGGGAGGCAGCAGUGGGGAAUUUUGGACAAUGGGCGCAAGCCUGAUCCAGCAAUGCCGCGUGCAGGAAGAAGGCCUUCGGGUUGUAAACUGCUUUUGUACGGAGCGAAAAGGCUCUCUCUAAUACAGGGGGCUCGUGACGGUACCGUAAGAAUAAGCACCGGCUAACUACGUGCCAGCAGCCGCGGUAA
This 493-nucleotide ribosomal RNA is filed under the name uncultured bacterium. RNAcentral describes it as "partial 16S ribosomal RNA". It matches the Rfam family "Bacterial small subunit ribosomal RNA", at positions 29 to 523 of the family's 1533-position model. The record is from RNAcentral.